CACGAAUCAACUUCAGCA
RNAcentral lists this small nuclear RNA (18 nucleotides) under Arabidopsis thaliana (thale cress). RNAcentral describes it as "snRNA_17460". Lineage: Eukaryota; Viridiplantae; Streptophyta; Magnoliopsida; Brassicales; Brassicaceae. The record is from RNAcentral.